GACGAACGCUGGCGGCGUGCUUAACACAUGCAAGUCGAACGGAAAGGCCCUGCUUUUGUGGGGUGCUCGAGUGGCGAACGGGUGAGUAACACGUGAGUAACCUGCCCCUGACUUUGGGAUAACUUCAGGAAACUGGGGCUAAUACCGGAUAGGAGCUCCUGCUGCAUGGUGGGGGUUGGAAAGUUUCGGCGGUUGGGGAUGGACUCGCGGCUUAUCAGCUUGUUGGUGGGGUAGUGGCUUACCAAGGCUUUGACGGGUAGCCGGCCUGAGAGGGUGACCGGCCACAUUGGGACUGAGAUGCGGCCCAGACUCCUACGGGAGGCAGCAGUGGAGAAUAUUGCACAAUGGGCGGAAGCCUGAUGCAGCAACGCCGCGUGCGGGAUGACGGCAUUCGGGUUGUAAACCGCUUUCGCCUGUGACGAAGCGUGAGUGACGGUAAUGGGUAAAGAAGCACCGGCUAACUACGUG
Molecule: ribosomal RNA, 468 nt
Filed under: uncultured bacterium
Lineage: Bacteria
Description: partial 16S ribosomal RNA
Rfam family: Bacterial small subunit ribosomal RNA
Source: RNAcentral